GACAGAGGCCUCAAGCGUUAGGCGGAAUCACUGGGCUUAAAGCGUGUGUAGGCGGGUCGUUAAGUACCUUGUGAAAUCCCACGGCUCACCCGUGGAACUGCUGGGUAUACUGGCGAUCUUGGGCCAACUAGGGGCAACUGGAACAAGCGGUGGAGCGGUGAAAUGCGUAGAUAUCAGGAGGAACACCGAUGGCGAAGGCAGUGGGCUGGGCCGGCACUGACGCUGAGGAGCGAAAGCGUGGGGAGCGAACAGG
RNAcentral lists this ribosomal RNA (253 nucleotides) under uncultured bacterium. RNAcentral describes it as "partial 16S ribosomal RNA". It matches the Rfam family "Bacterial small subunit ribosomal RNA", at positions 524 to 776 of the family's 1533-position model. The record is from RNAcentral.